CACUCCUGCGGGAGGCAGCAGUGGGGAAUAUUGCACAAUGGGCGCAAGCCUGAUGCAGCCAUGCCGCGUGUAUGAAGAAGGCCUUCGGGUUGUAAAGUACUUUCAGCGGGGAGGAAGGCGAUAAGGUUAAUAACCUUGUCGAUUGACGUUACCCGCAGAAGAAGCACCGGCUAACUCCGUGCCAGCAGCCGCGGUAAUACGGAGGGUGCAAGCGUUAAUCGGAAUUACUGGGCGUAAAGCGCACGCAGGCGGUCUGUCAAGUCGGAUGUGAAAUCCCCGGGCUCAACCUGGGAACUGCAUUCGAAACUGGCAGGCUAGAGUCUUGUAGAGGGGGGUAGAAUUCCAGGUGUAGCGGUGAAAUGCGUAGAGAUCUGGAGGAAUACCGGUGGCGAAGGCGGCCCCCUGGACAAAGACUGACGCUCAGGUGCGAAAGCGUGGGGAGCAAACAGGAUUAGAUACCCGAGUAGUCCCA
RNAcentral lists this ribosomal RNA (472 nucleotides) under uncultured organism. Its description in RNAcentral is "partial 16S ribosomal RNA". It matches the Rfam family "Bacterial small subunit ribosomal RNA", at positions 334 to 797 of the family's 1533-position model. The record is from RNAcentral.